RNAcentral lists this transfer RNA (24 nucleotides) under Ambystoma velasci (Mexican tiger salamander). Its description in RNAcentral is "partial tRNA-Thr". The record is from RNAcentral. Lineage: Eukaryota; Metazoa; Chordata; Amphibia; Caudata; Ambystomatidae.
AAGACUAAGAAUCUUCUCAAGGUA